GAUGAACGCUGGCGGCGUGCCUAAUACAUGCAAGUCGAGCGAACAGAUGAGGAGCUUGCUCCUCUGACGUUAGCGGCGGACGGGUGAGUAACACGUGGAUAACCUACCUAUAAGACUGGGAUAACUUCGGGAAACCGGAGCUAAUACCGGAUAAUAUAUUGAACCGCAUGGUUCAAUAGUGAAAGACGGUUUUGCUGUCACUUAUAGAUGGAUCCGCGCCGCAUUAGCUAGUUGGUAAGGUAACGGCUAACCAAGGCAACGAUGCGUAGCCGACCUGAGAGGGUGAUCGGCCAAACUGGAACUGAGACACGGUCCAGGCUCCUACGGGAGGCAGCAGUGGGGAAUAUUCGACAAUGGGCGAAAGCCUGAGGGAGCAAUGCCGCGUGGGUGAAGAAGGCCUUCGGGUUGUAAAGCCCUUUUAUUGGGAAAGAAAAAAAGUAUAAUAAUAUAUGGCUGUUCUGACGGUACCAAAAGAAUAAGCACCGGCUAACUUCGU
This 496-nucleotide ribosomal RNA is filed under the name uncultured bacterium. RNAcentral describes it as "partial 16S ribosomal RNA". It matches the Rfam family "Bacterial small subunit ribosomal RNA", at positions 28 to 506 of the family's 1533-position model. The record is from RNAcentral.